GGGGUUGAACGCUGGCAAGGUUCUUCCGGUUACAUGACUUCGUGGUGUUGUAAAGAUCUGCAUAUGACGGAUUUAUUGGAGGUGAUUGUUUGGUAGGUGGCGGCGGGCAACGUGGAGGGAGCUUAUCCGGCUGGUUGGAGAUCACAAUACGCCAUUAAGGGUUGCUGCUCUGCCUGCUUUUACAGCUGCGGUCUGGAUUGCCUGUCCUGCAGUUGCUGCUGCUUUGCCUCUUCUCUUUUCUGUAUUAUGAAUGUGGGGAUUGGUAGAUCGUCAUUCCUUGUUUAACUGCCAGGAUUAAUUAAAGGGAUUUUAUUUUGUGUGUUAAGAUUCUUUGUGUUGGGACGCCAUUAGGGAGGAAGGGAACUUUGUGGUGGCAUGUUGUAUUGUGUGUGUGUGUGUGUGUGUGUGCAUGGGAAUUGUAGUGUUUCAGGAUGCCAUCUGCUGCUUGACUGUUUAACCUCCUACCCUGUGUGGACCAGCCCAGAGGUUUUAUUUUGUUAUGUGGGUGGUGUUUUAUUGGUAAUUUAUUUGUAAUAAAAGAUUGUAAGUGGA
Brienomyrus brachyistius is the source of this 552-nucleotide long non-coding RNA. RefSeq lists it as uncharacterized. The transcript is spliced from 3 exons. Lineage: Eukaryota; Metazoa; Chordata; Actinopteri; Osteoglossiformes; Mormyridae. The record is from RefSeq and is a predicted model, not a curated record.